This 208-nucleotide long non-coding RNA is filed under the name Hordeum vulgare. Its description in RNAcentral is "long non-coding RNA (HVUL_LNC017671)". The record is from RNAcentral. Lineage: Eukaryota; Viridiplantae; Streptophyta; Magnoliopsida; Poales; Poaceae.
UACACCACUUGAACAACAGUUUGAGCUAAAUUUCUACCAGAAUCCUUUUAUUGCAGUGUAGUGAGCGACAGCGCGCUGGUAGGCACAUCUUCCCUUGUUUGUACAUUCAUCUACACUCUACAACAGGAUGUUCUCAAAGAAUAAUUGUAUCUCUAACUAACAAAUCAGGCAAUGUUAUUGAUGCUAUAGCCUGGGAUCUUUGGAUGAC